Molecule: ribosomal RNA, 540 nt
Filed under: Rhodococcoides kroppenstedtii
Lineage: Bacteria; Bacillati; Actinomycetota; Actinomycetes; Mycobacteriales; Nocardiaceae
Description: bacterial SSU rRNA
Rfam family: Bacterial small subunit ribosomal RNA
Source: RNAcentral
CAGCAGUGGGGAAUAUUGCACAAUGGGCGCAAGCCUGAUGCAGCGACGCCGCGUGAGGGAUGACGGCCUUCGGGUUGUAAACCUCUUUCAGCAGGGACGAAGCGCAAGUGACGGUACCUGCAGAAGAAGCACCGGCCAACUACGUGCCAGCAGCCGCGGUAAUACGUAGGGUGCAAGCGUUGUCCGGAAUUACUGGGCGUAAAGAGCUCGUAGGCGGUUUGUCGCGUCGUCUGUGAAAACCAGCAGCUCAACUGUUGGCUUGCAGGCGAUACGGGCAGACUUGAGUAUUUCAGGGGAGACUGGAAUUCCUGGUGUAGCGGUGAAAUGCGCAGAUAUCAGGAGGAACACCGGUGGCGAAGGCGGGUCUCUGGGAAAUAACUGACGCUGAGGAGCGAAAGCGUGGGUAGCGAACAGGAUUAGAUACCCUGGUAGUCCACGCCGUAAACGGUGGGCGCUAGGUGUGGGUUUCCUUCCACGGGAUCCGUGCCGUAGCUAACGCAUUAAGCGCCCCGCCUGGGGAGUACGGCCGCAAGGCUAAAA